CGAAAGCCUGACGGAGCAACGCCGCGUGAGGGAUGAAGGCCUCUGGGCUGUAAACCUCUUUUCUCAAGGAAGAAGAUCUGACGGUACUUGAGGAAUAAGCCACGGCUAAUUCCGUGCCAGCAGCCGCGGUAAUACGGGAGUGGCAAGCGUUAUCCGGAAUCAUUGGGCGUAAAGCGUCCGCAGGCGGCCUUGAAAGUCUGUCGUUAAAGCGUGGAGCUUAACUCCAUUUCAGCGAUGGAAACUACAAGGCUUGAGUGUGGUAGGGGCAGAGGGAAUUCCCGGUGUAGCGGUGAAAUGCGUAGAUAUCGGGAAGAACACCAGUGGCGAAGGCGCUCUGCUGGGCCAUAACUGACGCUCAUGGACGAAAGCCAGGGGAGCG
Molecule: ribosomal RNA, 379 nt
Filed under: uncultured cyanobacterium
Lineage: Bacteria; Bacillati; Cyanobacteriota
Description: bacterial SSU rRNA
Rfam family: Bacterial small subunit ribosomal RNA
Source: RNAcentral